AGACUUAGCUGGCAGGGGUGACAACGUGAUGAUGAAGGUGAUUUUUCCCAGGGUGAGGCUCAGCCAUCGUAAGGCAGCUGGGAUGGCCCUGCCCAGUUCCCCACAUGUCCGGAAACUUGCCUGCACAACUUGUGGUAAUGGUGUUUUUCUUUGCCCUCUC
This is a small nuclear RNA of Trichosurus vulpecula (common brushtail), 160 nucleotides long. RefSeq annotates it as U1 spliceosomal RNA. The record is from RefSeq and is a predicted model, not a curated record. NCBI's taxonomy places the organism in Eukaryota, Metazoa, Chordata, Mammalia, Diprotodontia, Phalangeridae. The transcript has a single exon.